RNAcentral lists this long non-coding RNA (5100 nucleotides) under Phoenix dactylifera (date palm). Its description in RNAcentral is "long non-coding RNA (PDAC_LNC005020)". Lineage: Eukaryota; Viridiplantae; Streptophyta; Magnoliopsida; Arecales; Arecaceae. The record is from RNAcentral.
UUAUAUCGCGCAACCAAAACCUGUCCUCCAAAACCCCCAAAACCCGUUCGCGCACGAGCUCGCUGCCCGGCGCCGCCGACCUCCGCAAGCCCUCAGGCGAGGCUAGGGGAGAUUGAAGGAAGAGAGACACGGUACACUAUCACAGCUGAGGAUAUCAGAAGGGAGCUAAAGAUUGAACCUUUUGUAGUUCUUGAAACCACUCCCAUUGAUGAAGUGGCACAAAGAGCGGUGGUAAAUGAAUCAUGUCCUCAAUGCCAUCACCCCCAGCUUGAGUAUUAUACCAGACAGCUACGAUCCGCUGAUGAAGGGCAAACAGUUUUCUACGAGUGCCCAGAAUGCAGAUACAAGUUUUCAGUCAACACAUAAAAAAAUGUUAUUAUCUGUUCCAUUAUGGUCGUCAAACACAUUCCUGAAUGAAUAUACCAAACAAAAACACAUGCCUGACUGUAAACAUGGUUUCAGAUUCAUCUUUAUUUGUAUAGAUCAUAAAUGUUUCGACGCUAAUUUCAAUCAUCAUUGUGUUCGGAUGCCAUUCUUUGUUGCACUGGUGACGGGCACUAGGGAAGACCGAGGAUGGCGUUCUUCCACGCUCGCGACUUCUUGUUCUGCGGAAUGUGCGGGACCCUCCUAUCCUUCGACUCGCUCGACUUCGCGAACUGCCCUCUUUGUGGCUUCAAGCGCGCCGCUAAAGGUACUACCACCCCGAUGCCUCAAGCCAAUGCGUGAAUUUGUCGGUAUUUCUGAUCCAAUUUUCCUGUUACUGAAUGCUCCAUAUGUGUAUAUGUAGCUCCUCUAUGGAGCCUUCGAUUACUAGUUUUGGAAGGCAUGAUUUUGUUCUUAAUUGGGCUAAUAACUGUUCUUUGUUGAAGCGGAUAUAGCAGUAGUCUUCCAUGAUUGGGUUAUCGAAGACUGGAAAAUUUUGUUAUUCUAGUGUGUUAUCUGCUUGUGGCUAGAUUGACAACUUAUUUUGUUGCUUGAACGGUGUCUAAUCUGGCAUUCAAUGAACCCGUAAUAUGUCUACUGUUUUGAUGUUUAAUUUGGAUAUUUGUAAAAGGUUAGUGCUGCAUCAGAGGUGCCAUUUUGAAAGUUCCUCCUACUUAGCUUGAAGGUGAUGGAGGCACCUUCAAACUAUUUUAUUAUAUAUGCUGUGGAGCAGAAUAUAUUGAAGUGGAAAAGAGAUGAAGAAGGUAACAUUUUGGAGAAUCUCCACUAUGAAGCUUCAGAGUUUGGUUAAACUCAAAAUCCCUUAAUAGGAAACCCCACAUUCAUGACUCUUUAUAUGGAUAUCGAAGUUGAACAUGAUGAAUGGAAGGCCAAUGACGAAGAAAGAAUAUCAUAGAAGUAGUCGCAACAAAUCCAAGACUAGAAUAUAGGAUGCAAUGCAUAUUUUGGUACAUUUUGGUUGCAGACUCUGAGUAGAUUACAAACGAACUUAUUUGAAGACAUCAGGGAUGCUUAAAAAUGAAUGAGACAAGUAAAGAAUAGCAAUUAUACCAUGCCCAGAAGAAUUAAUAGGGCAGAUUGGAAAGAAAUGAAAGUAUAAGAAAUUGCUGAAGAUCAUAAGGGAAAGGGCAAUGGCCCUAAAUAACCCACCUUUUACUGGUUCUAGGUCUACAACUGGCUCUGGCAGAGUGUUUUUUUUUAAUGAAAACUUAUUAUUAUCACUAUAUCCCAACCUAUAAAACAUUUGGAGACUUAGACCAUGCAAUGAUAGUCCUAUGAGGAACUUUCUCGCUAAACCUGGUCAAGUUAUGUGUUUGACAAAUUUCAUGACCUUUUAGUGGCAGAUGAGCAAGUCCAAUAAAUACAAUCAUGAACCUGAAGCUUUACUAAUUCAUAAAUUGCAGAAAUAUGGUCAUGCCUCAUGUGAUGCAUUCAUUUCUUUUGAAUCUCCACAGUUGUCCUAGGAUGUCUCAGGUUUAUAUACUAUGAAACUUGAGGAGAAAAUGUUAGAGUGGAUGUGCACUGUACGAGCAAGGCAUCACCACCUGGGGAAGAUGUAUAGAAUCUUGUCUUUCAAAAAAAAUUCAGAAACAUCUACACAGUAUGAGUAUAAGCCUGCAGAUAGCACAUCAACUAUUGUCCGAGUAUUUAUUUAUAUACAUGAGAAUUCUACUAUGUAAACUUGCUCACAAACAUGUCUGGCUUCCUUUCAGUCCUUUUUCUGGUUUUGUUUGUUACGCUAUGAAAAGCAUCUCUCCCUUUACAGUAAAAAGCAUCUUGCAAGUCAUCAAGGUUUAUCAUUUUUCUCUUUCUGUAUGUAGUCAAAAAGUAAUUGAACAGCACACAAUCUGGUCAAUCAUAAACACUUAACUAUGCAUAAAUCUGAAUCAAAUGUGUUUAGAUUUUCUUUUUCAAAGAAAUGAUAUCUGGAGUUUAAAAAGAUAUUUAUCGUGCAGUCUAAAUCUUCUCUAAUUAGAAAUCACAAUAUUAAGGCUUGUAAGAUUCAUAGUUAAAGACGAGUUCAUACUCCAUCUCGUUUUAUUUUGAUUUUUUGAAGGACUUCAGCAAUUAGUGAAAGAUCAGUUCAUAUUAUCAGAACAAAAAAAGAAAACAAAAAAGAUUGUAAAGCAGCAAGUAAUUUUAGGCACCCAACUUGCAGUACAGCAUUGCUAAAAGGUGAUGAACAGUAUCUAAAGACAAUUUGCUAACUGAUGACCAUUUGAGCAGUGUAUUUGCUUUCUCAUUAACUUUUGACCCCAGCAUUUGGAGUUGAGGUUGUAGCUGCUUUUAUGUUGUAUUGUAUGCUCGCAUGCACCUUAUUUUGGCAAGCGGCAACACAUGUUUACUGUGUCCAGAGAUGGGGUUUUGUCCUUUUUUCAAAGUUGAAGAUCAGAUUUUAUUUCUUCGUCCAGAGUAAUAAUGUGUUCUCCACAAACACAGAUGUGCACUUACAUGGGCAUGCACACACACAUACUCAAAAAAGGUAAAAACAACAGUGCUCUAUUUUUCUAAAAAGUGUUAUUAGAGCUGUUUGGUCUGCCAUGCAAUUCAGUAGGUUUCCAUAAUAUGGAGCCCAAUAGUUUAACAAAAACUUGCUGGCAGUAGGAUUUAUUGAUUCAGUUUGUGAUGGCGAUCCACCACAAAUGAUCCAAGUCAUGCCUUUCUUUAUGCUGUUCAUGUUGGGAAGGGAAAUAUAUUUCUUGCCUCAACUGUUAAUGAGAAUCUCAAAUUUAUGUACCAAAAACCUUCAUUUUUUUUUAUCAAUUAAGAUUCUUAUCUUCACUAGUUAUAGGAUCUUUAUAAAUAUUUAUAUUAUUGAUGCAUGUAUAACAAGUAGAAAGAUUGAAAUGUUUAAAAACAGACUAGUAUCUUCUGAUUAUCUGGACAAAGUGAUCACUAGCUGGUUGCAUUUUAUGUCAAGGAGAAAUAUGCAAUUAUUCUUUGGUAUUUACUUGUAUUAAUUCUUCAUUAUCUAUUUAUUUCCUUCAUGAAGACUACUUUCUGUUACUAGCUUUCAUAUUGCUCUUCUUAUUGUUUGUUGAGUUCACAAUCUGUUCUCAUGUUUUUUCUCACUAUGCUUUUUUCUGCUACCAAUAUAUUUUUUCCAUCUUUUUUUGGGUAUAGUUUCCUCAACUCCUUUGCUACAUUUGUUAGUCAUAUGUCAUGACAACUUAAAAGGAUAUCUUUUUCUGUGACCAUUGAUAUACAAAUCUAAUUUGAAGAUUGUUUUCCCAGAGANNNNNNNNNNNNNNNNNNNNNNNNNNNNNNNNNNNNNNNNAUGAACUUGUGAUCCAUCAGAGUCUGGGAACUUGUUAAAAACUAAUCGUAGUUUUAGUUCUUUGAUAUGGUGUCAAGGUCCUAGCCAAAGCAAUUGGGCAAGGGACGGGUCUACCCUAGAAUUCUAGAAGACCAUUUGGCAUGAGGAUUACUUAUUGGUUGCAUAAUUUAAACUCUGGUGAUGAAGAACUGCCCAUUUAGGUUCCUCUAGAAUUGGAAACUUCAAACUACAUUUCUAAAUGGUUGAGACAUAGGGGUGGCAAAAUCUGAUCUGCACCUGCCAACCUGCAUGAAUCCACCUGCAAUAAAUGGGUUUGGUGGGGUUUUCUUAAAGUUGGUUUGGUUCCAGGUCAACCCAAAAUCAAGCUUGGGUUUAGCCCUCAGACGCAAUGGGCCACCUGUGAUAAAUCAUUUGAGAACCAAUCAGCUCCCACACCCAAUAUAAUUGAUAAUUCUAAUUGUUUCCAUGUGGUUUGGUUCCCUAGUUCAAAAAAAAAGAGGAUUAUAAAGAGUAAUGGACAUGUUGGGUUAUGGGAUUUAGGGAUGUUGGGUUGCAUUUUAGCUAUUCAAUCUUUAGAUAGAUUAUGACUGAUAUUUUGUAAAUUCCUGAGUUUAUUGUGCUUAUGAUGAUAUAUUCAAGGUUCAUUUUGGUUUUGUUGUUUGUGCUCUUCACGUACCAUGUUUUGUUUUCUGGGACAUCUUAAGCCGUUACAAACUUGAUUAUAAGGAAAGGUACCAAUAGUUGAAAUAUUCUCCUUUAUAAACAUUGCCAUUUGACACCACCCAAUUCUUAUCUCAUGCAUGUGCACAGUCAGCAGCCAACAAUUUUACUUUACUGUGACCACGGCAUUGUCCCCAAAAUCAGACAUUGGUAUUCAAACACCUUUCAUAUAGUCAUCAUCCUGUAGCAUAUGAUUGUAAUGUUUUGUAAAGACUUCUGCUUUUAGUAACUUGGCUUUUCAUGGGCAUUUCUAUGUUCUGAAGUCUUUCACUUGCAAAAUCAAUUAGCAGGAAACACAAUAUGAGAUUUGUGAAUCCAUGUGGCUGUUAAUCAAUCAGGAAACAAGUAUUUGAGAGUCAUGACACCAUUAAAUCUUCUUUUCUGCAAUUGUCUCCAUUAUAAUGGUUGUCAUGUUCAUAGAUUAUGCUUGGAUAAUUGGGGAUAUUCUGUGAAAAUCAUAUAUGAUCAAUAAAUCUAAUGUAGAUUCUGUUUCUCACUUUUGCUUGAAGUGAUGAAUUCUUUUUCCUAGAUUAAUUGUGAUGACCAAUGUUUUUUUCUGUCAUUUCUUUUUCAGGAUAUCAGAAGGGAGCUAAAGAUUGAACCUUUUGUAGUUCUUGAAACCACUCCCAUUGAUGAAGUGGCACAAAGAGCGGUGGUAA